Long non-coding RNA from Mus musculus (house mouse), 324 nucleotides. RefSeq annotates it as predicted gene, 53675. Lineage: Eukaryota; Metazoa; Chordata; Mammalia; Rodentia; Muridae. The record is from RefSeq and is a predicted model, not a curated record. The transcript is spliced from 3 exons.
CAGCAUCUGAAACUGAGCUCCCUUGUGUGUGGAGAAGAUGAUAUGUUUCUGGUUUCCAGCCAGCCCAGGAAAUGAAAGACUUUUCUGCUCCAGAGACUGAGAAUGAAUUAGAACAUGAGCCAGAUGGGCAGAUGUUGACUGAAGGCUAAAAGGAAGAAGAUGAGAUGGCCUGAGGCUGGCAUCUUCUGAGACCCUAAUAGCAUGGACUUCACAGUAUCCCUCAGUGGUCGUUCACUAUCAGGGAUCAAACUCAGGUUGCAGGCUCACACCGCAAGUGCUUCUCUCCGCCGGGCUGCCUGGAAGACCCCUCUUGCUUGCUUUUCA